RNAcentral lists this unclassified non-coding RNA (266 nucleotides) under Hevea brasiliensis (rubber tree). The record is from RNAcentral. Lineage: Eukaryota; Viridiplantae; Streptophyta; Magnoliopsida; Malpighiales; Euphorbiaceae.
AUUAGAACCAAAACAACAAAGAAUCAUAAAUAAAGCUUCAGAAUAAAUAUGAAAUAAAUACAGUAAGCCCAUAUAUAAUAAACAAAAUACAAACAGGGUGAAAAUUACAUUUUUAGUCCAAGGAUGAUGUUGUCCUUUAUGUAAAAACCAGUAGAAAAUUUUUUGAAAAUUACAAUCUCAAACAUUUUUAUUCUAAUGAAAAAAAAUUCCCUUAACAGUUUUUGCGUGUGCGCAUCCAUGUAUGUAUGUGCGUGAGUAGCCAAUUG